AAAGAAAUUAAAGGGGUGUUAUGAAAUACUUUAAGGAUAAGCCACAGCUGGUCGCAGUGUAGGUUUGCGGUAACUAAUCGGGAUUUUUUCCCAAACGGGGCUCUGAAGAGAUCUUAUGCUUAUGGGAAUUUAAACUUUCACGUUUUAUUUUUCAGAGCGCCGGACGUUCGAGAGCAACGUUUCGCAACAGUGUAUUUUUGAGUGUGAGGCCGCUGCUCCGUUGCAGUGCGCAGUUGUAGGUGCUGUCCGUGGUUCUGAAUCGGAUAAAAGCGUUUUAGCCCCAGCCACGGCCUCACUCUACUACAGGAGACAAAUGUCUGUCGUCGUCGGCAACAACAGCAACAUUAUGCGUUUUGCUGGCUGUGUGAGGCAUGUGAAACUUUGAAUUGCCGUUGGUGUAUCUAGAUGACAUCUGUCGCCAGACCUUAUUAAGGAAAAUACAUAUCCCGUCAUGCAAGCGGUCCACGUGUUCUGAGUGAACCAAUCAGCAAGCUGUAGCUCGGCGCAGGCGUAUAUAACAGCGGAGCGGCCUUCAUUACGUCCUCUCCCUCUUCGCGUCUACCACGAGGAGGAAGAAAAGUUGCUGUGUAAAUUCUGGUAUCUGUUAACAGAAGAGAGAAAAAAAUGACCCACUCACUCGCAGGUGAGUGCUGCUGCCCAGAAGGGAUGAAAAGACAACAGCCUAUGCCAAAGGCAACCUGCCACCAUCCAAGUAUUGGCUAACUCUGAAUGUGGAGAACGUGACCACAAUACACUCAGGUGCCGUGUUGCUGACUAUAGGGGAAUGCCUCCUGUGCCAAAUGCUACCUGCCACCACCUUCAAAGAAUCACUUGACUUAUAAGUUAAGGACGAAUCUCUUGAGUAUAGACUCGUCUCCUGGACAAGAUGCAGAGGCUUGAGUACAUGGUGAACUGUUGCAGGCCAAACAAAUUUCCACCUCCAUUAAUAGAACUGGUGUUCUUUUGAUUUUUUUUAUUUUAAUACAAUGUAAAAUUAAAAUGACUUGAUGUAUUGCCUGUGUUGAGGUAAUAAAACUUGAAACAACUUU
Molecule: long non-coding RNA, 1049 nt
Organism: Betta splendens (Siamese fighting fish)
Lineage: Eukaryota; Metazoa; Chordata; Actinopteri; Anabantiformes; Osphronemidae
Exons: 7
Source: RefSeq, a predicted model, not a curated record